GAUGAACGCUGGCGGCGUGCCUAAUACAUGCAAGUCGAGCGAACAGACGAGGAGCUUGCUCCUCUGACGUUAGCGGCGGACGGGUGAGUAACACGUGGAUAACCUACCUAUAAGACUGGGAUAACUUCGGGAAACCGGAGCUAAUACCGGAUAAUAUAUUGAACCGCAUGGUUCAAUAGUGAAAGACGGUUUUGCUGUCACUUAUAGAUGGAUCCGCGCCGCAUUAGCUAGUUGGUAAGGUAACGGCUUACCAAGGCAACGAUGCGUAGCUGACCUGAGAGGGUGAUCGGCCACACUAGAACUGAGACACGGUCCAGACUCCUGCGGGAGGCAGCAGUAGGGAAUCUUCCGCAAUGGGCGAAAGCCUGACGGAGCAACGCCGCGUGAGUGAUGAAGGUCUUCGGAUCGUAAAACUCUGUUAUUAGGGAAGAACAAAUGUGUAAGUAACUAUGCACGUCUUGACGGUACCUAAUCAGAAAGCCACGGCUAACUACGUG
Molecule: ribosomal RNA, 497 nt
Filed under: uncultured bacterium
Lineage: Bacteria
Description: partial 16S ribosomal RNA
Rfam family: Bacterial small subunit ribosomal RNA
Source: RNAcentral